GGAAGUAGGGACUGCAAGGGCAGGAACUCAGGAGGAAAUCUUAGGAAACACAAUCCUGGCAAAACAAUGAAAUACUGCAGUACCACAAAAAGACAAAAAGCCUUUAACUUGCAAUAAAAUCCAAUUAAAUGUCUUAAAUCUUUAUGUGAUAUUUAUUUCCUGAAUAUGGGCUGUCUAACAUGAAUUCAGCCGAUCAAAAUGACAGUCACAAGUGUUAUUUUUAGUUCCUUAACAUCCUUGAUUCUUGUCAUUUUUUAAGGUUUUGUCAAAGGGAUUUGAACUUUAAAAUAUUCAGGAACCUUAUCACACAAGUCCUUGACCAUUAUUUUUCAGGAUUCCAAUCCUGACUAUUUUCAUUCAACUAAGCGCAUGCAAUUUGCCAAGGUUCCCUCAAUGAGAUCUUGAAGAUCAGAUAGACAGAGAAAGUAAAGAGUGCUCUGGUGAAGAGUGUCCAAACUUCCCUCUGAUGUUAGAGGUUUUGUUCAGAUUGUUAGUUCUCAAUAUUACAGGUGCCUAGACCAAAUAAGGCAUCAGUAAUCAUUAUUACGAUGUCAUCUCUUUUUGGAUUGUUCUUUCACAUGGAGUAUUUAAUACAUGAAGUUUAACAAAUCUCUUAUGAUUUUUUUUAAAAAGCGUGCAAGAUCCCUCAUUAAUUCUUUCUGAGAGGUUCCAACCAGAUGAAAGAGAGAAAAUUUCUUUAGUUUUGUGCUUUCUUUCGGAUGGUUUGGGGUGUUUUGUUCGAGCACAAUGUUAAGGCUAGUAAAAAUCACUAUUGCCCAUCAUAGAAAUAGAUUUUUUUUUUCAGGUAUGCAGUCUUCCACGUCUAGUGUAUUUCAAGGAGUUUCAGUAGCAAGUAUAGAUUGACUGAACAGCCCUCGUACAUUAUAACUUAAACUUGUUAUAUUUUUGUUUCCUUCUCAUUCCUACUUAGAAUAAAACUUUCCCACUUGUGCUACUUAUCUUUUACAUGCUUUUGUUGUGAUUGUGGCUCUUAUUGUACAUCUAAAGCUCUGAGGGGAGGAAUCUGCACGGAGGUGCAGAGCACAAGGGACAAAUUUUCAUCUGACGGUAUUUAACUAUUUAUUUCAAUUUUUUUUCCAUUUACUUAAGGGGCAAUAUGGCCAUAAAAUGGAUGUAAACAAUAUGAUAGUGUUUCUAUCAAUCAAAGCCUCAAUGUGUGAUGGAGCAGCAACCAGUAGGAAACAUAUUCAAGAUGAGCAUUUAUUUUCAAAACAUGCUAGCAUAAAUUACUAAACUAACCUCUUUCUGAAGUAGGAGAGAACG
This 1284-nucleotide unclassified non-coding RNA is filed under the name Hevea brasiliensis (rubber tree). The record is from RNAcentral. Lineage: Eukaryota; Viridiplantae; Streptophyta; Magnoliopsida; Malpighiales; Euphorbiaceae.